AAUCCAGCCGAUAGGAGUGUUAUCGUCACUUGAACUCUUCAUGCAUAGACCCAUAUACUUGGGUAAUACUUCUUCAAAUAUUUUCCAUUUAAUGCUCUGGGAAAUUCAACUCCUUCGAGGGUUUCUAAAAUAUAGGCAUUGCCAGGAGCAGAUCGAUUUAUCCGAUAAGGACCCUCCCAAUUGGGAGACCACUUCCCAAAUUUUGAACUUUUAG
This 214-nucleotide long non-coding RNA is filed under the name Sorghum bicolor (sorghum). RNAcentral describes it as "long non-coding RNA (SBIC_LNC009084)". Lineage: Eukaryota; Viridiplantae; Streptophyta; Magnoliopsida; Poales; Poaceae. The record is from RNAcentral.